AUUGAACGCUGGCGGCAGGCUUAACACAUGCAAGUCGAGCGGAGUGAUGGUGCUUGCACUAUCACUUAGCGGCGGACGGGUGAGUAAUGCUUAGGAAUCUGCCUAUUAGUGGGGGACGACAUCUCGAAAGGGAUGCUAAUACCGCAUACGUCCUACGGGAGAAAGCAGGGGAUCACUUGUGACCUUGCGCUAAUAGAUGAGCCUAAGUCGGAUUAGCUAGUUGGUGGGGUAAAGGCCUACCAAGGCGACGAUCUGUAGCGGGUCUGAGAGGAUGAUCCGCCACACUGGGACUGAGACACGGCCCAGACUCCUACGGGAGGCAGCAGUGGGGAAUAUUGGACACUGGGGGGAACCCUGAUCCAGCCAUGCCGCGUGUGUGAAGAAGGCCUUAUGGUUGUAAAGCACUUUAAGCGAGGAGGAGGCUCUUUUGGUUAAUACCCAAGAUGAGUGGACGUUACUCGCAGAAUAAGCACCGGCUAACUCUGUGCCAGCCGCCGCAGUAA
Molecule: ribosomal RNA, 503 nt
Filed under: uncultured bacterium
Lineage: Bacteria
Description: partial 16S ribosomal RNA
Rfam family: Bacterial small subunit ribosomal RNA
Source: RNAcentral